Molecule: transfer RNA, 72 nt
Filed under: Stieleria varia
Lineage: Bacteria; Pseudomonadati; Planctomycetota; Planctomycetia; Pirellulales; Pirellulaceae
Rfam family: tRNA
About the family: Transfer RNA (tRNA) molecules are approximately 80 nucleotides in length. Their secondary structure includes four short double-helical elements and three loops (D, anti-codon, and T loops).
Source: Rfam by way of RNAcentral
GCACUGCUGGUCUAAUUGGAAAGACUCAGCCUUGUCAGGGUUGAAAUAGGGGUUCGAGUCCCUUGCAGUGCA